This 465-nucleotide ribosomal RNA is filed under the name Vreelandella stevensii. Its description in RNAcentral is "partial 16S ribosomal RNA". It matches the Rfam family "Bacterial small subunit ribosomal RNA", at positions 338 to 795 of the family's 1533-position model. Lineage: Bacteria; Pseudomonadati; Pseudomonadota; Gammaproteobacteria; Oceanospirillales; Halomonadaceae. The record is from RNAcentral.
CCUACGGGGGGCAGCAGUGGGGAAUAUUGGACAAUGGGGGGAACCCUGAUCCAGCCAUGCCGCGUGUGUGAAGAAGGCCCUCGGGUUGUAAAGCACUUUCAGUGAGGAAGAACGCCUGGUGGUUAAUACCCAUCAGGAAAGACAUCACUCACAGAAGAAGCACCGGCUAACUCCGUGCCAGCAGCCGCGGUAAUACGGAGGGUGCGAGCGUUAAUCGGAAUUACUGGGCGUAAAGCGCGCGUAGGUGGCUUGAUAAGCCGGUUGUGAAAGCCCCGGGCUCAACCUGGGAACGGCAUCCGGAACUGUCAAGCUAGAGUGCAGGAGAGGAAGGUAGAAUUCCUGGUGUAGCGGUGAAAUGCGUAGAGAUCGGGAGGAAUACCAGUGGCGAAGGAGGCCUUCUGGACUGACACUGACACUGAGGUGCGAAAGCGUGGGUAGCAAACAGGAUUAGAUACCCCAGUAGUC